CAAUCGGCCCUUUUCAGGGCUAUCAAACUAUUGAUUAGCAAUGGAA
Molecule: non-coding RNA, 46 nt
Organism: Aedes aegypti (yellow fever mosquito)
Lineage: Eukaryota; Metazoa; Arthropoda; Insecta; Diptera; Culicidae
Source: Rfam